UUGAAAGGGAAACGAUUGAAGUCAGUCGUACCGACGAGAAAUCAGCUUAUCGUGUGUUAACUUGUGGGCGUGCGUGAGUUUCGGCCUCGCUGUUUGCAUGUUUGUGCACUUUGGGUGUACUUUUUCGUAUGGUUGGCCAACAUCAGUUUCGAUUACUAUAAAAUGACUGGCGGAAUGUAGCUUCGAUUUCGGUUGAAGUGUUAUAGCCUCUGGUAGAUGUGGUGAUUGAGACUGAGGAUUGCAACGAAUAUCCUUUGGGCUAUCCGUCUGGCCUCUGAAAGUUGCUUGGGUGCUGAAAGCUUGCUUAUGGUUAUCUAAGUUAACGGUCAAUAGGUUAGAACGUGAUUACAUUCGUUAAGGAUGUUGACGUA
RNAcentral lists this ribosomal RNA (371 nucleotides) under uncultured Glomeromycotina. RNAcentral's name for it is "eukaryotic LSU rRNA". Lineage: Eukaryota; Fungi; Glomeromycota. The record is from RNAcentral.